AGACAGAGGGGGCAAGCGUUGCUCGGAAUUACUGGGCGUAAAGGGCGCGUAGGCGGGAUGGCAAGUCGGUCGUGAAAUCCCUCGGCUCAACUGAGGAGCGUCGAUCGAAACUGCCGUUCUUGAGGGUUGCAGAGGAGACUGGAAUUCCCGGUGUAGCGGUGAAAUGUGUAGAGAUCGGGAGGAACACCGGUGGCGAAGGCGGGUCUCUGGGCAACUCCUGACGCUGAGGCGCGAGAGCGUGGGGAGCAAACGG
RNAcentral lists this ribosomal RNA (253 nucleotides) under uncultured prokaryote. RNAcentral's name for it is "partial 16S ribosomal RNA". It matches the Rfam family "Bacterial small subunit ribosomal RNA", at positions 523 to 775 of the family's 1533-position model. The record is from RNAcentral.